This 3134-nucleotide ribosomal RNA is filed under the name Ceratitis capitata (Mediterranean fruit fly). RNAcentral describes it as "eukaryotic LSU rRNA". The stretch from base 1 to 2427 matches the Rfam family "Eukaryotic large subunit ribosomal RNA", at positions 435 to 3401 of the family's 3401-position model. The record is from RNAcentral. Lineage: Eukaryota; Metazoa; Arthropoda; Insecta; Diptera; Tephritidae.
AAACCGACGCCAGAACGCACGCUGGACGCCAGAGUUGUCGACGAAUUCGACAACCUGAGAUUGGCCGACCCGUCCUUCUACCGGAGAAGUACGAUAUCCUUUAUUUUAGGUGCUGAUAUCUACGCAGCGAUCUUAAGACCAGGAUUAAUGCCUGCAACGCCAACCAGGCCAGCCGCACAGAACACGCUGUUUGGAUGGGUGAUAUCCGGCAGUACACCAUAUUGAGGCGUAGGAAACAAAACUGUAUUUAUCUAACCAUUUAAAUAUUUCUAUUGCAGUGAUGCUGCAAGGCGGGCGGAAUGUUUAUGUGUGUAACCCUGUGCAAUCAUCAUUUCCACCAAGAGAUGUCGCUGCGUUCAAAACAAGUAUAACCAGUAUACAUGACUCGACUUAUUAAUGAGAAAGAUGCAGUUAUGUCCGUUUUAGAUUUCCACCUUCUGUGGAAUCUUUAAAAGGCCGUAGUUGCCGGUCUAACGUCCUCUUUUUGAUUUCAGCUUUGAACGCAGCAACAUCUCCGAUGAAUACCUUCACAUUUUAAAAUAAAUAUCAUUUUAAACCCACUAUAUGAAUUCACUUGGUUUUUUUAAUUGUUGAGCCACUUGGCGUAGAAAGUAGGAUACUUUAAUUUUCAGCUUUCAAGGAACGGCAACCCGAGCCCCGUUGCCGGAAUCCACGAGGAAUUUCGGCCCCAAUAAUUCUCGAAAGAAACAAUACCUCUAACUGGAGCGUACCUUGGGCAUAUAUGCUGUGACCCGAAAGAUGGUGAACUAUACUUGAUCAGGUUGAAGUCAGGGGAAACCCUGAUGGAAGACCGAAACAGUUCUGACGUGCAAAUCGAUUGUCAGAAUUGAGUAUAGGGGCGAAAGACCAAUCGAACCAUCUAGUAGCUGGUUCCCUCCGAAGUUUCCCUCAGGAUAGCUGGUGCAUUUAAAUAUUAUGUAAAAUAAUCUUAUCUGGUAAAGCGAAUGAUUAGAGGCCCUAGGGUCGAAACGACCUUAACCUAUUCUCAAACUUUAUAUGAGUAAGAACCUCACCUUUCUUGAUAUUAAGGUUGAGGUUAUGAUAUAAUGUGCCCAGUGGGCCACUUUUGGUAAGCAGAACUGGCGCUGUGGGAUGAACCAAACGUAAUGUUACGGUGCCCAAAUUAACAACUCAUGCAGAUACCAUGAAAGGCGUUGGUUGCUUAAACCAGUGGACAUGGAAGUUGUUAUCCGCUAAGGAGUGUGUAACAACUCACCUUCCGAAGCUACUAGACCUUAAAAUGGAUGGCGCGUUAUAUUAUAAAUUUUGAAGCUUUAGUGAGUAGGAGGGUACAAUGGUGUGCUUAGAAGUGUUUGGCGUAAGCCUGCAUGGAGCCGCUAUUGGUACAGAUCUUGGUGGUAGUAGCAAAUAAUCGAAAGAGACCUUGGAGGACUGAAGUGGAGAAGGGUUUCGUGUGAACAGUGGUUGAUUACGAGUUAGUCGGUAAUAAGUUCAAGGCGAAAGCCGGAAAUUUUCAAGUUUUAAUGAAAUGAAAAUGUAUAAUUUUCAUAGUAAUUAAACACUUGAAUAAUUUUGAACGAAAGGGAAUACGGUUCCAAUUCCGUAACCUUUUGAGUAUCCGUUUGCUAUUAAAAAUGGGCCAUUGUUCUCACCCUGGCAACAGGAAAGACCAUAAAGAAGACGUCGAGAGAUAUCGGAAGAGUUAUCUUUUCUGUUUUAUAGUCGUACUACCAUGGAAGUCUUUCGAAGAGAGAUAUGGUAGAUGGACUAGAAGAGCAUGACAUUUACUGUUGUGUCGAUAUUUUCUCCUCGGACCUUGAAAAUUUAUGGUGGGGUUACGCAAACUUCUCAACAGGCCGUACCAAUAUCCGCAGCUGGUCUCCAAGGUGAAGAGUCUCUAGUCGAUAGAAUAAUGUAGGUAAGGGAAGUCGGCAAAUUAGAUCCGUAACUUCGGGAUAAGGAUUGGCUCUGAAGAUUGAGAUAGUCGGGCUUGAUUGGGAAGCAAUACCAUGGUUUAUGUACUCGUUCUGGGUAAAUAGAGAAUUUCGGUUCUUGUUCCCCGGAUAGUAGUUACGUAGCCAAUUGUGGAACUUUCUUGCUAAAAUUUUUAAAGGAUUAUAUCGUAAGAUAUAUAUUCUUUUUAAAUUAUAACGAUUAUCAAUUAACAAUCAAUUCAGAACUGGCACGGACUUGGGGAAUCCGACUGUCUAAUUAAAACAAAGCAUUGUGAUGGCCCUAACGGGUGUUGACACAAUGUGAUUUCUGCCCAGUGCUCUGAAUGUCAAAGUGAAGAAAUUCAAGUAAGCGCGGGUAAACGGCGGGAGUAACUAUGACUCUCUUAAGGUAGCCAAAUGCCUCGUCAUAUAAUUAGUGACGCGCAUGAAUGGAUUAACGAGUGUUGAGUUGCUGCAGGAUGGUUGGUUAACUGAUAGGGACCUAGAGUGUGGGAACUUGGGAUGCCGUACGCUUCCAAGUACAUGUGCGUUUAGGAAGUGACAAGACCGUUGGGAAAAUAGAUCUAAUGGUCGCGUGCCAUAUGAGUACAUUUGGGAUGUCUCGUUUGUGGUGGAAAAUCCAGACUUCGGAUUUUCUCUGAGUAUGGGUUUUCUGCUAACCGGUCAUGGGCCUCUAAAUGCUUUUCUGCAUGAGAGGCACUUGAGCGGAACGGCGAGCUGUGAGUGUAGUAUAGAGCGAGAGGAUUGGAUGCAUGUGUUGUGUUAAUGCCCGAUGUACUCAGACAUUAAGCACUUAGGGGGUUUGGGAAUAGUUAGGACAGAGGGACGGUAUAGGGUAUGUGAUGUUCUCUGAUGUGGAGAGUACAUUACGUGUGUUUGAAGUGUUUGCGCAUGAUGUGUUUAGACGGCGAAGUCAUCUGAGGUUUAAUUGACCAUUAGAUUUGGAGUAUGAAUGAGCAUAUUUGAGUCGGUACGCGGAGAAUGAAGUUCAACCCCAGGCCACCAGUCCGGAGAUGUAUGGAAGCUCAACUGGUAGUAGUUUCGGCUACGAGGUUCGACCGGAGACCUAAAUCUGGUACCACAGGGAACAGGAGCCCUCGGAGCUUGCUCCGACCUGUUCAUGCGGAUAGGCACCCUCGGGAAGCAUCGUGCGGCCGUGGUUUAAACCCAAGUGCGGGAAGAGUUGAUGUUUUGUCA